Molecule: unclassified non-coding RNA, 6550 nt
Organism: Vigna unguiculata (cowpea)
Lineage: Eukaryota; Viridiplantae; Streptophyta; Magnoliopsida; Fabales; Fabaceae
Source: RefSeq, a predicted model, not a curated record
ACAUGGAUUUUGAAUUUCGAAAUCUAAUGCCAAAUCUCAACUUCAACGUCGUUUCUCCUCAUCGUUCCAAAUCUCUUUCGUUCGUCAUUUGUCCUCAUCUUCUCCGCACGCCGCCACUCCAUUGUUUCCUAGCCUCCGUCGUGGAUCUGCUCAGUGCCGCCGCUGAUCAGCUUCCUGCCGCUGAUAUGUUCUUCACCGCCUCUGAUGUGUUCUUCACCGUCGCUGACGUGUUCUUCACCGCCGCUGGUCUGGCACAGCAGCAAACUAGGUUUUUUGACAUUUUAAUGAGAAAACCAAAGUCAUGGACAAGAUUUGGAUGUGUCAACCAAGAUCUUUUGGCCGGUACUUAGAUGGUUUAAACAAGUUUCUCGACUUUGCAUUUAGUAAUGCAACACAAGGGAACAAAGGGCAAAUGGUGUUGGACUAGUGAGUUUGGGCAUGAGAUCUCUAGUAGCUUUGCGUAUCAUGUAAAUCUCAGUGCGAAAGGAUAUCGUUCUCUAAUAUAUAGUGGAGAUCAUGAUGCAGUUGUUCCUUUCAUGUUGACUCAAGCAUGGAUCAGAGCUCUGAAUUACUCCAUUGUACAAGAUUGGAGGCCAUGGCGCUUCUAAAAGACCAAGUUGCAGGGGUUGAGCACACACAGCACUUGAGUACAAGCCUGAUGAAGGUUAUGCCAUAUUUCGCAGGUGGAUAGCUAUAAAUGACAUCUCCUAGUCAAGAUGAUGAUCUUCCUCCUGAGGAAGCAAACCGGAAGAAAGGUGUAGUGAUUAUGAGGAAAAUUAUUCGAGCUAGAAGUGAAGGUAAAAAUUUAAAUGAAAUGUACAUAUUUUAUGCUUUGGUAUCUUAGAUAUGUUACUUUCUUGAAAAUUAAUAUGUACUUAUUCAUAUAUUAUUAUGCUUCACGGAAUGCCAAAGGUCAACCAAUUGAACACGGAGACACAAAAUUGAUUAGUUAUCUUGGAUCCAUUGUUCAAUCUAAUGUUCCUAUAAUGUGUGAUAAUUAGAAAGAUUCGACUUUGAGUGCCUAUAAGGACAUUUUUCGGAAUGAUAUACAAGUAAAAUAUACUAAUUAUGUUUACUUAUGUCAAAAGUGUGUGUUAUGGUUAGCAUACUUCUUCUAAUAUAUUAUUUUUUGACAACUAACUUUUAAUGUUGGUACAUCUUUCCACAUUAUGUAUCAAAGGUGGAACGUAAGUUGCUUAUGAAUUUUAGAACUAACUUUGCUAAUACUUAUCUAAAGGAUGAGAAUGAAAAUUAUUUAGAUCAUCCUCUUACUCAACUUUGUGAUAAGUAUACAUCAAUGAUUAGUGAAGAUAUUUGAAGAAAGUUUGUUGCAAAACGUAUGAAUACAAGUUUCUAGGUAAUCUAUAAUAUUCAAAUACAACCUAUUUAUUCUUUAAUUCCUCUACUUAUAAUUUGUUUACUAUCUUUUUAUAUAGAAAAAACCCUAAAAAAUAAGGAAAAAGUAUUACACUCUAAUUGUCAUUAUAGGGGCUAAAGUAACAUGUAUGCACGCCUAGAACAAAAAAUGGCAAGUCUAUAUAUAAAUAAAUAAUAUACAACUUGUUGAUAUUGAUUUCUAACUAGUAUGAUUAUUUUUUUUUAAGAAUUAGAUAAAGAAAUUGGGAUCAAAUGUUAGUAGUGUUUUGUGUCAAGAAUUGUGGAAGCAUGCUCGUGUGAGCAAGGUCGGGCAAAAUGAAAAUUAAGAUGUUCAACAAGUUUGGAACAAAUGUGUAAGUAAUAUAUAAUAAUUAUAUAUGUGUGUAUGAUAUGAGAAUAAGUGUGAUAGUUUUUAUUAUUUUAGGUAAUAUUAUCACAAACUAUACAUUCAAAAGAGAUGAGUAAUGCUCAUUUAGACAUUCUUGCUCAAGCAUUGUCUCCUAGAGUAUGUUGGUCAUUAUGUCUCUUAGAGUAUGUUGGUCAUUAUGUCUCUUAGAGUAUGUUGGUCGUGUUAGGGCAAUGAAAUUUGGAAUUAAUCACAAAUUAUUUUCCACCCAAAAAGCAUUAUACACACUAAGAAGCUCAAAUGAAACAUAUGACAAAAAUGAAUGGUAUAGAUAGAGAUUAAUAUUAUUUCACUUUAGAAAAAUGACACAUCAAAUAAUAUAUAACAAUUUGAUAUUGGUGUCAAUAGUGACAAAGAGAAUUGCACAAUUUCAUCAAAUAGUUUUAUUGAGGUAAUUAACUUUUCUACAUAAACUUCAAUAUUAGUUUAAUUUGAUUAUUUUAAAUUUGUUAUAACUUUUCAUAUUUACUCACAUUAGAUUUUCUCUUAUAAUUAGAUUUUAAAUAUUAGAUUUAAUAUUAGUGUAACUUGCUUACUUUAAAUUUGUAAUAACUCUUUACAUUCAGUUUAAAUAUUUUAUCUUAAAAUUAUAUUUUAUAGCGUAGGGGUUCUCAAGUUAUAAAUUAUUUGUAUCAUCACCAGUACUUUGCUUUGCUUGGUUGGCCGUAGGAAAUUGCAUAAAAGUGAUACAUUGCAUGGUAGAUCUAUAUGUAAUGAUGAACAUGUAAAAGUUAGUCUAGAUAUUGUUGUGGAGCCAAAUGUGUUGUUGCAUAUACCUAAUGUUGAUGAUGACACAAUGACAAUAGAAACAAUAGAUACAUUUUCUUUGUCCAAUCAAUCUAGUACAUGUUGAUAUGAUAUGUUUAUAAUAUUAAUUCAUAAUUAUUUAUGAAAAUAUUUUAUCUUAUAUAACUUGUUUAAUUGACAAUGUUUUAGGAUUUCACUCUAUCUAAAAAGAAAAAAAAAACAAUAAUACAAAUGAAUAUAUGACACCUAAAAGAAAAUGCCAAGGAAAAAUGGCUAUUCAACAUAGUGCUUGUAAAGUGAUUCAUCCCAAUCUUUUUGAAUGGUGCAACUAUUGUCUUCAUACAUGAAAUUAAAGCAUACAAAGUUAUUUUUCCCAAUACAAAAUGGAAAAAAAAAGCAUAUUUGGACUAGAUGAACAAUAAGAAAUAAUUAAUGCAUGAAUUAGUGGAGAAAUUAUUGAGUAUGCAUGGCUAAGUACAACUAUAAUUUUUACAUAUAUUAGGUACAAUAUACUAUUUAUUAAUAACUUUAAUCUUUGAUUAAUAGCUAUAAUGAUAUUAGUUUUAUAGAACAACUAAUUUUCUUCCAUAAGAUACUUAUAUCAAACUUUUAUUAAGCCAAAUCAUAAAGAAUUCUUCUUUUCGUCACCUCAAAUAAUAACACAACUAAGAACGUAAGAGAGAAUGCAAAAAUUACUUGGUAUUUUUUUGAUAAUGGGGUGGUGGAAAGUUUGUUGAUAAUGGGUUGACUAAUAAGUUUCUUUAUCAAUCACCCCAUUAUGAACUAAAAUACUAACUAAUUUUUGCAUUUUCUCUUUCAUUGAUAGUUCAUGUUUGGGUGAUAAAAAGAUCUCUUUAUGAUUUGGCUUAAUAAAAGUUUGGUAUAGGUACCUUAUGAAAGGAAAAUUAGUUGUUCUAUAUUAGUAAUAUCAUAAGGGCUACUAAUCAAAUAUAAGCUAAUGAUAAAAAGUAUUAUAUUGUACCUUAUAUAUAUAAAAAUUGUAGUUGCACCUAGUCAUGCUUAAUUAAUAACUUCUCCCAUAAUUUCUGCAUUAACGAUUUUUUUAUGUUCAUCUAGUCCAAAUAUGUCUUUCUCCAUUUCUAUUGGGGAAAGUGACUUUGUAGGCUUUAAUUUCAUGUAUGAAGAGAGGUAGUUGUGUCAUUUUGAGAAAUUAUGAUGAAUCACUUUAUGAGGAGUACGUUGAAUGAUCAUUUUCCCUUGACAUUUUCUUCUAGGUGCGACAAAUUCAUUUGUAUUGUUGAUCUUUUUCUUUUUAGAUAUAGUGGAAUCCUAAAACAUCAUCAAUUAAAUAAGUUAGGUAAUAGAUAAAAUAUUUUCAUAAAUAAUUUUGAAUUAAUAUAGUUGUAUAUACAUACCACAUGAACAACUUGUAAAAGAUUGAUUGGUCAUGUCACAAAUGUACCUAUUGUGUCAUGAUCAACAUUAGGUACAAGCAAUGAUACAUUUGGUUCCACAACAUUAUCUACACUAACUUUUACAUGUCCAUUAGGUAGAGAUAUACCCUGUAGUAUAUCACUUUUAAUGUUAUGCAAUUUUUGGUAACCAAGCAAAGUAAUGGUGAUGAUACAGACAAAUUACAACUUGAGACCCUCUGCAUUAUAAAUAUAAUUAUAAGAAAAUAUUUAAAGUGAUCAAAUGUAGAGAACUAUUGCAAAUUUAAUAUAAGUUACAUUUACAUUAAAUCUAAUAUAGAAAAUAUAUAAUGAUAAAAGAAUAUUAUUGUGAAUAAAUAUGGAUAGCUAUAUCAAAUUUAAAGUAAGCAAAUUAAACUAAUAUUGAAGCUAAUGUACAAAAGUUAGUUACCUUGGGAAAACUAUUUGAUGAAAUUGUGCAAUUCCCUUUGUCACUGUUGACACCAAUAUCAAGUUGUUCUAUAUUAUUUGAUGUGUCCUUUUUCUGAAAUGAAUAAUCUCAUUCUUAAUCUGUUCCAUUCAUGUGUUUCAUUUGAGCGGUCAAUGUAUCACGCUCUUGUUGUGUAUAACGCUUUUUGGGUUGGAAAUAAUCUUUGUGAUUGACUCCAAAUCCCAUUGCCCUAACACGACCAGCAUACUCUAGAAGACAAAGCUUGAGCAAGAAUGUCUGAGCGAGCAUGACUCAUCUUUUCUGAAUUUAUAGUUUGUGAUAGUAUCAUCAAACAUAUCACAAACACAAAUAUAAUUAGUAUAUAUAACUUACACAUUUGUUUCAAACUUGUUGAACAUUUUUAAUUUGCUCAACCUUGUUCAUACGAGUAUGCUUCCACAAUUCUUCAUAGAGAACACUACUAACAUUUGAUCCCAAUUUCUUUAUCUGUUUAAAAAAAUAAUAAUCACAUUAGUUAGAAAUCAAUAGUAGCAACUUGUAUAUUUUUUAUUUGUUUAUAUAUUGACUUACCAUUUCUUAUUCUUGGGAGCAUACCCCUUACGUGAGCCUCUAUAAGGUACUUAGAGUGUGAUGUUCUUUCCCUUUUUUUAGGCUUUUUUCUAUAUAGAAAGAUAAUAAACAAAUGAUAUGGACACUAGUAUAAAUAUAUUUAAAGGAUAAAUAUAUUGUAUUUGAAUAUUAUAGAUUACUUGGAAACUUGUAUCCAUACGUUUUGCAACAAACUCUCUUCAAAUAUCUUCACUAAUUAUUGAUGCAUAUUUCUCACGAGGUUGAGUAAGAGGAUUAUUUAAAUAAUUUUCAUCCUUUAGAUAAGUAUUGGUCAAGCUAGUUCUAAAAUUCCUAAGCAACUUACCUGCCACUUUUAAUACAUAAUCUUGUGAGAUGUAUCAAAAUUUAAAGUUAGCUGUAAAAUAAUUAGUAGAAAGAAGUUUGUCAACCAUAACACAUACCUUAAAAUAAGUAAAUAUAAUUAGUAUUUUUGACUUGGAUAUCAUUCUAAAAAAUGUUCUUAUAGGCACUCAAAGUUGAGUCUUUCCGAUUAUCUUACGUUAUAGGAACAAUGGAUCCAAGAUAACUAAUGAAUUUUGUCCCACUGGGUUUAAUUGGUUGACUAUUUGCAUUCCAUGAAACCUAAUAAUUUGAAUAAGUUCAUGUGUAAACCAACAUUUUCCUCUUUCUAGUCAAAUUUAAAUGCUUAUGUUUCAUAUUGACACAAAAUGAUGGAUUUGUCCAAAUCCCUUCAUCAUGGUCAUCUCUCCUAUACAAGAUAUCAUCUUUUAUUGGAUCAUCAUAUGAUAUCUCAUACAAAAGACUGUCAUUGUGUAAAAUAUACAAUUGAGCUUGUUCCUAAUCUUUCCUUGACAUGGUCACUAUUGUAUUUCCGGUAAUCACUUCUCGUGUGGUUCUCGCCAAGUGUUGAGAUUUGGAAGUCCUAUAAAAUUUAAAAUAAUAAUGUUUAUGAUUGUUAAAUGAAAGUAAAAAAAGUGACGGUGUCAUACUAUUAUGGUCCCACUUCAUAUGCCCUUUAUAAUAUUUUAAACAUGAAGCAUAAAAUAAAAAAAGGGGGUGGAAGUAAAAUUUCAAUGUGCAUGUACUCAUUUAAAGUUCAAAUGACUCUAAGCCAAAUUUUAGUUUGUCCCUUGUACUAGGAUUUUCAUAGUAUUUACAGGGGAUCCGUCGACUUGGGCUUUCUAUAGAAAUAAAUUAGAUAUUUUGUCCUGAGUCGUAUGAUCGGAGUAACUAUUUUACAGGGUAGCAUGUAAAUUUAUGUUUUAAGUUCAUUAUGCCUUUAAGGUGUUUGGUAAAAUGUUUAUAUAAGACGAACUUUAAAGCAGAGUAACUUUAGAAUACAUUGAUCAGUGGUUUUUAUUCUUUAUGUAUAUGUAUAGAAAUAAUAAUAUUUUGGUAGAUUCUUGAGAUGUGAGUGGAUUUAUUACAUUGAUUUUGUAUUAUUUGAUACUUAAACUGUCGGGUUAUAUAUGCACUCAGGUCAUGUCUGACUGUAGGUUUGCUCAGGUUUUUCUUCGAGAUAUUUACAAAUUUGUUAUUAUGUUCUGGAAUGCAUUUUUCUGGAGCUUCCAAUCUCGAAAAAGAAACAAGCCUAAGAAAACUAAUCCAGUUUAGUAUUAUUGAGAA